Molecule: ribosomal RNA, 420 nt
Filed under: bacterium
Lineage: Bacteria
Description: partial 16S ribosomal RNA
Rfam family: Bacterial small subunit ribosomal RNA
Source: RNAcentral
UGGGGGAUAUUGCACAAUGGGCGAAAGCCUGAUGCAGCGACGCCGCGUGGGGGAUGAAGGCUUUCGGGUUUUAAACCUCUUUCGUUAUCGAACAAGGCCCGCUUAGGGUGGGUUGAGGGUAGGUGGAGAAGAAGCGCCGGCUAACUCCGUCCCAGCAGCCGCGGUAUUACGUAGGGCGCGGGCGUUUUCCGGAAUUAUUGGGGGUAAGGGGGUUGUAGGCGGCUUGUUGCGCCUGCUGUGAAAACGCGGGGCUUAACUUCGCGCGUGCAGUGGGUACGGGCAGGCUUGAGUGUGGUAGGGGUGACUGGAAUUCCAGGUGUAGCGGUGGAAUGCGCAGAUAUCUGGAGGAACACCGAUGGCGAAGGCAGGUCACUGGGCCAUUACUGACGCUGAGGAGCGAAAGCAUGGGUAGCGAACAGG